GUCUUGUCGAUGAUCCAUCUCCUCCUCCCAAGGAUCGUCGGCCCAAGGCCUACAGACCUCCUCCUCCCGUCUGUCGGCCAGAAUCAAGAGCCUGUCGCACCUCCUCCCGCGACAGGCUCUUUUU
This 124-nucleotide small RNA is filed under the name Xaviernesmea oryzae. RNAcentral's name for it is "Rhizobium oryzae Alphaproteobacterial ar14". It matches the Rfam family "Alphaproteobacterial ar14". From Rfam's summary of the family: Smr14C2 was renamed NfeR1 (Nodule Formation Efficiency RNA) highly expressed in salt stress and during the symbiotic interaction on legume roots. Lineage: Bacteria; Pseudomonadati; Pseudomonadota; Alphaproteobacteria; Hyphomicrobiales; Rhizobiaceae. The record is from Rfam by way of RNAcentral.